RNAcentral lists this ribosomal RNA (986 nucleotides) under human gut metagenome. RNAcentral describes it as "bacterial LSU rRNA". It matches the Rfam family "Bacterial large subunit ribosomal RNA", at positions 1938 to 2925 of the family's 2925-position model. The record is from RNAcentral.
AACUAUAACGGUCCUAAGGUAGCGAAAUUCCUUGUCGGGUAAGUUCCGACCCGCACGAAAGGCGUAACGAUCUGGGCGCUGUCUCAACAAGAGACUCGGUGAAAUCAUAGUACCUGUGAAGAUGCAGGUUACCCGCGACAGGACGGAAAGACCCCGUGGAGCUUUACUGUAGCUUGAUAUUGAGCACUGGUGGCACAUGUACAGGAUAGGUAGGAGACGAAGAAACCAGGACGCCAGUCUUGGUGGAGUCGCUGUUGGGAUACUACCCUUGUGUCACUGGGGUUCUAACCCGUGGCCCUUAUCGGGUCAGGGAACAGUGUCAGGUGGGCAGUUUGACUGGGGCGGUCGCCUCCCAAAGAGUAACGGAGGCGCCCAAAGGUUCCCUCAGAAUGGUUGGAAAUCAUUCGAAGAGUGUAAAGGCAGAAGGGAGCUUGACUGCGAGACCUACAAGUCGAGCAGGGACGAAAGUCGGGCUUAGUGAUCCGGCGGUACCGAAUGGAAGGGCCGUCGCUCAACGGAUAAAAGCUACCCCGGGGAUAACAGGCUGAUCUCCCCCAAGAGUUCACAUCGACGGGGAGGUUUGGCACCUCGAUGUCGGCUCAUCGCAUCCUGGGGCUGUAGUCGGUCCCAAGGGUUGGGCUGUUCGCCCAUUAAAGCGGUACGCGAGCUGGGUUCAGAACGUCGUGAGACAGUUCGGUCCCUAUCCGUCGUGGGCGUAGGAAAUUUGAGAGGAGCUGUCCUUAGUACGAGAGGACCGGGAUGGACACACCGCUGGUGUACCAGUUGUUCUGCCAGGAGCAUAGCUGGGUAGCUACGUGUGGACGGGAUAAACGCUGAAAGCAUCUAAGCGUGAAGCCCCCCUCAAGAUGAGAUUUCCCAUUCGAAAGAAGUAAGAUCCCUUGAAGACGACGAGGUUGAUAGGUCAGGAGUGGAAGUGUGGUGACACAUGGAGCGGACUGAUACUAAUCGAUCGAGGACUUAACCAA